RNAcentral lists this ribosomal RNA (475 nucleotides) under uncultured organism. RNAcentral describes it as "partial 16S ribosomal RNA". It matches the Rfam family "Bacterial small subunit ribosomal RNA", at positions 335 to 801 of the family's 1533-position model. The record is from RNAcentral.
ACUCCUGCGGGAGGCAGCAGUGGGGAAUUUUGGACAAUGGGGGCAACCCUGAUCCAGCAAUGCCGCGUGAGUGAAGAAGGCCUUCGGGUUGUAAAGCUCUUUUGUCAGGGAAGAAACGGUAGUAGCGAAUAACUAUUACUAAUGACGGUACCUGAAGAAUAAGCACCGGCUAACUACGUGCCAGCAGCCGCGGUAAUACGUAGGGUGCAAGCGUUAAUCGGAAUUACUGGGCGUAAAGCGUGCGCAGGCGGUUGUGUAAGUCAGAUGUGAAAUCCCCGGGCUCAACCUGGGAAUUGCAUUUGAGACUGCACGGCUAGAGUGUGUCAGAGGGGGGUAGAAUUCCACGUGUAGCAGUGAAAUGCGUAGAUAUGUGGAGGAAUACCGAUGGCGAAGGCAGCCCCCUGGGAUAACACUGACGCUCAUGCACGAAAGCGUGGGGAGCAAACAGGAUUAGAAACCCUGGUAGUCCCAUGAU